AUUGAACGCUGGCGGCAGGCCUAACACAUGCAAGUCGAACGGUAACAGAAAGCAGCUUGCUGCUUUGCUGACGAGUGGCGGACGGGUGAGUAAUGUCUGGGAAACUGCCUGAUGGAGGGGGAUAACUACUGGAAACGGUAGCUAAUACCGCAUAACGUCGCAAGACCAAAGAGGGGGACCUUCGGGCCUCUUGCCAUCGGAUGUGCCCAGAUGGGAUUAGCUUGUUGGUGGGGUAACGGCUCACCAAGGCGACGAUUCCUAGCUGGUCUGAGAGGAUGACCAGCCACACUGGAACUGAGACACGGUCCAGACUCCUACGGGAGGCAGCAGUGGGGAAUAUUGCACAAUGGGCGCAAGCCUGAUGCAGCCAUGCCGCGUGUAUGAAGAAGGCCUUCGGGUUGUAAAGUACUUUCAGCGGGGAGGAAGGGAGUAAAGUUAAUACCUUUGCUCAUUGACGUUACCCGCAGAAGAAGCACCGGCUAACUCCGUG
Molecule: ribosomal RNA, 490 nt
Filed under: uncultured bacterium
Lineage: Bacteria
Description: partial 16S ribosomal RNA
Rfam family: Bacterial small subunit ribosomal RNA
Source: RNAcentral